CCACCCAUCCUCAUCCCCGGAGCAAAGGAAGCACACGAACUCUAGGAGGACAUUGCAGGACCAUCUGGAACACAGCAGACCCUGCCCCUCACCACUUCAGCUGAGCCUUUAUCUUCUUCAAGCGAAAAUGGAUAAGAAGAUGAGUUGUAUCAGCCACUCCCAGGCAUCUACGGUGAGCC
Molecule: long non-coding RNA, 179 nt
Organism: Fundulus heteroclitus (mummichog)
Lineage: Eukaryota; Metazoa; Chordata; Actinopteri; Cyprinodontiformes; Fundulidae
Exons: 3
Source: RefSeq, a predicted model, not a curated record